CCCGAGUCCUCCUUUUGCACACACACGAAUACAAAGAGCCAUACGACCUUCGGGUAUCCUUUUUCCAUUUUUUUCCCCUACUUAAUCUUGUGUGUGUUUUCAAAUUUUUUAAAAAUAGAGAUCUGUGGCAGUGCUGGGGAUCAGAUUAGUGAAUAAUUAAAUUGCCAGAGUGUAUACUCCAUGUUGCAAAUGAAGGGUCCCCCAAAGAUGAAAACUUUGACUAAGAGGAACUGCUGUUUUGCAAGCGUUACCUGAAAACCUGUAACCAAGGCCAGCUGGAACUAAAAAUCAACCACCAUCAAGCGUAUGAAACCGAUCUGAGGUCACUGUACUUAUAAUCGUGUACACAUAGCUUUGUGAAGAGCAAAGAACAAAAGCAAGUAAACAAAAAAGCCAAAGAUGGCGUCUGACGGCCUUGAAAAAGCCUCGCACUCUUGUCCCUCCCUGAGAAGGCCCCUCCCCUCCCUGUCUCGUUGAGUGACCGGUAAUGUUUGCCAAUAGCAACCCUGCUUAUGCUCACACACACGCCCAUCGCCCAACCACCAAUCAUUGAGAGCCAGAAGGCAAGCGGGGCGGUGCUUUUCUGCGUGCGCGCGCUGUGGCUGAGUACACGAGCCGGAGCAACUGACUCAGCCACCACCCGGGUCUUGUUGAGUCAGCGGGCGUGGGGCUUCGAGGCACCUGUGGUGGAACACCCGUGGGGCUGCUAGAGUGGGACCCCGCGGCGAGCGUCCGCCCCUGCCCAGGACCUCAGCUUUCCUAGCCACAUAAUUACCCACGUUGACCCAGCAAGAUCCCCUACCGCGCCUCGACCUCUGGGCUCUCCACCGCCCGCCGGGGACUGUCCCCUGGUCCGGCGCACAGUGGCGGGGCUCCCGGUCCCUGCGCCUGACGACUGCUCGGCGUCGCUGCGCUCUCUGCCUGUAGCCAAAUCACACUGCCUGUCGGGAAUGGUUCUGUUGUCCCUGGCGCCCACCUUGUCAUCUUUGACUAAUAUUUAAUCGACUAACAUUUACCGAGGACUUGCUGGGCGCGUGAUAGGGUUCUAGGAGCUAACUUUCCAUUUUUCAGUUUCUCCAGAAAAGCAGUAAGUGCUCUUUUAUGUCAGGCACAUUUAUAUGAAAAUCUGAAAGUGGAAAUUAUGGUCUUACCAAGUUGCACUUUAGCAAAUGUAAAUAAAAAAGGAUUGUGCUUAUGCUAAGUUAAAAACUCAUCCCCUGAUCUGCCAAUAAACAUGUAAUUUGGGGAUUACAUGGAAUCAUUGUUUAAAGCCCUUCUGCCCUCUGGGUCUGCAAUUCUGUUUUGUACACCUAACGAUGAGGGGUUUUUUUGUUGUUUUUUGCAAAUCAUUAGAUGGGUCAGUCUUUCAGAAUGUAAGGAAAUUGUAUUUUAUGGUACCUGAUUACCUGCUCAUGUGUGAUAGGAUCUCAUUUCUGAUAGAAAAAUAGGUUUUGAGAGGAUCUUCAAACAGGUGAGCCAUUUUGCACCUUGAUGUGGAGGAGCAGAGUUGACCAACCAGGAGGAGCUUUAAGUGGCCAUUUUUCCUUUUUUAUUUCUUAAAAUGAAGAUUAUGAUAUGAAUUGCCAGGCUUUCUGUAAUCACGUUUAAGAAAGUCCGUUUCUAGCCUGACCCUGAGCAAGCCAAAGGCCCAUUAUAAGAGCAUAUAUCAUUCUGAGGGAUACUGUAUCACACACAUCUAUUAAGUAGUGAGAAAACUUAUUUUUCAUAGUUUGGAGGUGAACUCAGUCAAGCAGAAAAUUCAAACUCAGAAUGGGGAGAAAGCAAGCAAGGGUACUGGCAAGAGUAUGAUAUAUUCAGUCCCAACAAAAAUACAUGUGACUCAGGAGAGAGGGAUGUUUAAGAUUAUGAACAGUCUCAGUGGAUAACUAGGUUGAUAUAUAGUACCUGCAAUAUAAAGAACAUUUGAGAAGUUUGUAAUGGUUUUCAUUUGAAAUAUUUAGACUGCUGAAAGUUUUAAAUUUUUAGAAGCAUAGGUUUUGAUGUUUAAAACUUGAGGGAGAAAAUCCCUUUACCUUUGUUUAAAAGUUAUUAAACGUUAGUGCUAAUUGUACUUGUGCAGUAUUAACAGCUAUAUUACACAGUAAAUGUGGGGUGAAGUCCACUUAGAAAAUGUUAAACUGCUUUUCCAGACAUUGUUUUAGCAUAUUUUCAGUUAGUGUGUGUAUGUUAAUGUAUAAUUGAUAGAACAAAGUUACAUUUUUAAAACUGCUACUGGUAUAAAUAUUUACCCUUUCCUCAGAUUGUGUAGGUUUUGUGCAUAGUUUUUACAAAUCUUGAAUUUACCAGACCGUCUUUGCACUGUGGGUUUUGUAGAAGUCCAGCAUUUUUGUGUGUGUGUGUGUGGUUUUUUUUGGUACCGGGGCAACUUGCUCUUUCGAGGCAGGCGCUGGAACCGCUGAGCUAAAUCCCUGGCCCGAGAAGACCAACAUUUUUAUGGCGAUAAAGUGUUACUUCUUUUUUGGUACUGGGGAUUGAACUUGGGUCCUUGUGCUUUCGAGGCAGGUGGCAGAACCACUGAGCUAAAUCCCCAGC
This 2553-nucleotide long non-coding RNA is filed under the name Heterocephalus glaber (naked mole-rat). RNAcentral's name for it is "lncRNA (ENSHGLG00000042297.1)". Lineage: Eukaryota; Metazoa; Chordata; Mammalia; Rodentia; Bathyergidae. The record is from RNAcentral.